CCGGGGAAGACGGGACCGGUCAGAGAGAGCCAUGGGCUAGAUUUGGCUUUGCCACUUCCUUCAUCGGGACGGCUUCCAUUUUCAGAAAGAAGAGAUGGGAAAAAAAUACUGCACUCUAUUUUGAGGACAAAGCUGAAUUCCACCAGAACGCAGAGUGAGCACACGUCUGACUUGCGAUUUGGUAGGGAGCAAAGCGCCAGCUCCGGAGGUUCGGGAAGG
Long non-coding RNA from Artibeus jamaicensis (Jamaican fruit-eating bat), 219 nucleotides. RefSeq lists it as uncharacterized. The transcript is spliced from 3 exons. The record is from RefSeq and is a predicted model, not a curated record. Lineage: Eukaryota; Metazoa; Chordata; Mammalia; Chiroptera; Phyllostomidae.